Ictalurus punctatus (channel catfish) is the source of this 518-nucleotide long non-coding RNA. The record is from Ensembl. NCBI's taxonomy places the organism in Eukaryota, Metazoa, Chordata, Actinopteri, Siluriformes, Ictaluridae.
UAGUAAUUAGGGGUAGACAAUUCUAAUUCAGUUCUAUAGUAAUUAGGGGUAGACAAUUCUAAUUCAGCUCUAUAGUAAUUAGGGGUAGACAAUUCUAAUUCAGCUCUAUAGUAAUUAGGGGUAGACAAUUCUAAUUCAGUUCUAUAGUAAUUAGGGGUAGACAAUUCUAAUUCAGUUCUAUAGUAAUUAGGGGUAGACAAUUCAUAUUUCAUUUUAUAAUUACCAGGUGUAGAAAAUUCUGAUUUCACAUAUUAGAAAAGUAGUCAGGUGUUCUAAUAAUAAUAAUAAUAAUAAUAAAUUUAAAAUCUGGUUUUCUUUGAUAUUAAUCAGGUGUAGAAUUCAAAUUUUGUUGGCCCUAUUAAUUUCAAAUUCAGAUACACCUUUUUAAAGCAUUUUAAAUGUCAUUUUAGCCGAUGAUGAGGUGUUUUAGUUCAUUUGAACCUGAAGAUUUGCGCUGGAUUAAAUUUGAAUUUUCUAAACCUGAUCAUUAUGAAAUUUUGUUUUAACUCUUGCACGGA